UCCUGAGUGGGAAUCACUUAUUAGGUCUAAAGCGCUCGUAGUUGGCUUUGUAAAUUUCUUGUGAAAUCGUGUCGCUUAACGGCACGGCGUGCAGGAAACACUGCAAAGCUUGGGACUGGGAGGCGUCAGAAGUAUUUCUUAGGGAGCGGUAAAAUGUGAUAAUCUAAGGAGGACUACCUGUGGCGAAGGCGUCUGACGAGAACAGGUUCGACAAUCAGGAGCGAAGGCUAGGGGAGCAAACCG
Molecule: ribosomal RNA, 243 nt
Filed under: uncultured archaeon
Lineage: Archaea
Description: partial 16S ribosomal RNA
Rfam family: Archaeal small subunit ribosomal RNA
Source: RNAcentral